UCGUGUCCGGGGCUCUGGCGGCCGGCGGCUUCUCCGGCAAGGCGCAGAUGGGCCCGGCCAUGAAGGCGGCUCAGGCCGCUGUCGCGGG
RNAcentral lists this transfer RNA (88 nucleotides) under Actinoplanes cyaneus. RNAcentral describes it as "tRNA-Arg". The record is from RNAcentral. Lineage: Bacteria; Bacillati; Actinomycetota; Actinomycetes; Micromonosporales; Micromonosporaceae.